Molecule: ribosomal RNA, 335 nt
Filed under: Escherichia coli
Lineage: Bacteria; Pseudomonadati; Pseudomonadota; Gammaproteobacteria; Enterobacterales; Enterobacteriaceae
Also listed under: 2 other names
Description: partial 23S ribosomal RNA
Rfam family: Bacterial large subunit ribosomal RNA
Source: RNAcentral
GGUUAAGCGACUAAGCGUACACGGUGGAUGCCCUGGCAGUCAGAGGCGAUGAAGGACGUGCUAAUCUGCGAUAAGCGUCGGUGAGGUGAUAUGAACCGUUAUAACCGGCGAUUUCCGAAUGGGGAAACCCAGUGUGUUUCGACACACUAUCAUUAACUGAAUCCAUAGGUUAAUGAGGCGAACCGGGGGAACUGAAACAUCUAAGUACCCCGAGGAAAAGAAAUCAACCGAGAUUCCCCCAGUAGCGGCGAGCGAACGGGGAGGAGCCCAGAGCCUGAAUCAGUGUGUGUGUUAGUGGAAGCGUCUGGAAAGGCGCGCGAUACAGGGUGACAGCC